RNAcentral lists this ribosomal RNA (485 nucleotides) under Microbacterium sp. RNAcentral's name for it is "bacterial SSU rRNA". It matches the Rfam family "Bacterial small subunit ribosomal RNA", at positions 380 to 875 of the family's 1533-position model. The record is from RNAcentral. Lineage: Bacteria; Bacillati; Actinomycetota; Actinomycetes; Micrococcales; Microbacteriaceae.
AGCCUGAUGCAGCAACGCCGCGUGAGGGAUGACGGCCUUCGGGUUGUAAACCUCUUUUAGCAGGGAAGAAGCGAAAGUGACGGUACCUGCAGAAAAAGCGCCGGCUAACUACGUGCCAGCAGCCGCGGUAAUACGUAGGGCGCAAGCGUUAUCCGGAAUUAUUGGGCGUAAAGAGCUCGUAGGCGGUUUGUCGCGUCUGCUGUGAAAUCCGGAGGCUCAACCUCCGGCCUGCAGUGGGUACGGGCAGACUAGAGUGCGGUAGGGGAGAUUGGAAUUCCUGGUGUAGCGGUGGAAUGCGCAGAUAUCAGGAGGAACACCGAUGGCGAAGGCAGAUCUCUGGGCCGUAACUGACGCUGAGGAGCGAAAGGGUGGGGAGCAAACAGGCUUAGAUACCCUGGUAGUCCACCCCGUAAACGUUGGGAACUAGUUGUGGGGUCCAUUCCACGGAUUCCGUGACGCAGCUAACGCAUUAAGUUCCCCGCCUG